Molecule: ribosomal RNA, 468 nt
Filed under: uncultured bacterium
Lineage: Bacteria
Description: partial 16S ribosomal RNA
Rfam family: Bacterial small subunit ribosomal RNA
Source: RNAcentral
GACGAACGCUGGCGGCGUGCUUAACACAUGCAAGUCGAACGGAAAGGCCCUGCUUUUGUGGGGUGCUCGAGUGGCGAACGGGUGAGUAACACGUGAGUAACCUGCCCUUGACUUUGGGAUAACUUCAGGAAACUGGGGCUAAUACCGGAUAGGAGCUCCUGCUGCAUGGUGGGGGUUGGAAAGUUUCGGCGGUUGGGGAUGGACUCGCGGCUUAUCAGCUUGUUGGUGGGGUAGUGGCUUACCAAGGCUUUGACGGGUAGCCGGCCUGAGAGGGUGGCCGGCCACAUUGGGACUGAGAUACGGCCCAGACUCCUACGGGAGGCAGCGGUGGGGAAUAUUGCACAGUGGGCGGAAGCCUGAUGCAGCAACGCCGCGUGCGGGAUGACGGCCUUCGGGUUGUAAACCGCUUUCGCCUGUGACGAAGCGUGAGUGACGGUAAUGGGUAAAGAAGCACCGGCUAACUACGUG